This is a long non-coding RNA of Helianthus annuus (common sunflower), 249 nucleotides long. RefSeq lists it as uncharacterized. Lineage: Eukaryota; Viridiplantae; Streptophyta; Magnoliopsida; Asterales; Asteraceae. The record is from RefSeq and is a predicted model, not a curated record. The transcript has 2 exons.
GGCAAGGAGUCCGGUUCAUCUAGCGGACAAGCCGGGGGAAGUUCACGAGGAAAAGACGCGCUCUAAAAGUUUUUCAGGUACUCAAGUGAAGGAUGAUGAUCAAGCAGUUGAUUUGGACCGAACACCUAACUUUACGCUUCCGCACUUGAACCUUGUUUUGUAAUUUUAUAAACUCUAGUAGUUUAUCUUGGAACAUUGUUGUAGUUUAAACAUGUAAAUGUUUUAUCAAAUGGGUUAGGAAUCUUGAAA